UUGAUCCUGGCUCAGAAUCAACGCUGGCGGCAUGCCUAACACAUGCAAGUCGAGCGAGAAAAGGGUAGCAAUACCCUGAGUAAAGCGGCGCACGGGUGAUUAACACGUGGAUAACCUGCCUCAAAGUGGGGAAUAACACCGGGAAACCGUUGCUAAUACCGCAUAUUCUGAUGGAGUCUGAGGACUUUGUCAGUAAAGGUGCAAUUCGCUAUGAGAGGGGUCCGCGGCUGAUUAGCUAGUUGGUGAGGUUAUGGCUCACCAAGGCAACGAUCAGUAGCCGGUCUGAGAGGACGGUCGGCUACACUGGAACUGAGACACGGUCCAGACUCCUACGGGAGGCAGCAGUGGGUAAUUUUUCGCAAUGGGGGCAACCCUGACGAAGCAAUGCCGCGUGGAUGAUGAAGUAUUUCGGUACGUAAAAUCCUUUCGACGGGGACGAAACCGCAAGGUUGACGGUACCCGUAGAAGAAGCCCCGGCUAACUCCGUGCCAGCAGCCGCUGUAAUAAGGU
RNAcentral lists this ribosomal RNA (510 nucleotides) under uncultured Acidobacteriota bacterium. RNAcentral's name for it is "bacterial SSU rRNA". It matches the Rfam family "Bacterial small subunit ribosomal RNA", at positions 13 to 529 of the family's 1533-position model. The record is from RNAcentral. Lineage: Bacteria; Pseudomonadati; Acidobacteriota.